Molecule: ribosomal RNA, 301 nt
Filed under: uncultured bacterium
Lineage: Bacteria
Description: partial 16S ribosomal RNA
Rfam family: Bacterial small subunit ribosomal RNA
Source: RNAcentral
CAGCCGCCGCGGUAAUACAGAGGGUGCGAGCGUUAAUCGGAUUUACUGGGCGUAAAGCGUGCGUAGGCGGCUUCUUAAGUCGGAUGUGAAAUCCCUGAGCUUAACUUAGGAAUUGCAUUUGAUACUGGGAAGCUAGAGUAUGGGAGAGGAUGGUAGAAUUCCAGGUGUAGCGGUGAAAUGCGUAGAGAUCUGGAGGAAUACCGAUGGCGAAGGCAGCCAUCUGGCCUAAUACUGACGCUGAGGUACGAAAGCAUGGGGAGCAAACAGGAUUAGAUACCCGGGUAGUCCCUGUCUCUUAUAC